RNAcentral lists this ribosomal RNA (251 nucleotides) under uncultured bacterium. RNAcentral describes it as "partial 16S ribosomal RNA". It matches the Rfam family "Bacterial small subunit ribosomal RNA", at positions 1254 to 1500 of the family's 1533-position model. The record is from RNAcentral.
CCUGCGAAGGCAAGCGGAUCUCUUAAAGCUGUUCUCAGUUCGGACUGCAGUCUGCAACUCGACUGCACGAAGCUGGAAUCGCUAGUAAUCGCGGAUCAGCACGCCGCGGUGAAUACGUUCCCGGGCCUUGUACACACCGCCCGUCACACCAUGGAAGUCUGCAAUGCCCGAAGCCGGUGGCCUAACCACUUAUGUGGAAGGAGCCGUCUAAGGCAGGGCAGAUGACUGGGGUGAAGUCGUAACAAGGUACC